GGAGGUUGUGGCCUUGAGCCGUGGCUUUCGGAGCUAACGCGUUAAGUAGACCGCCUGGGGAGUACGGUCGCAAGAUUAAAACUCAAAUGAAUUGACGGGGGCCCGCACAAGCGGUGGAGCAUGUGGUUUAAUUCGAUGCAACGCGAAGAACCUUACCUACUCUUGACAUCCAGAGAAUCCAGCGGAGACGCAGGUGUGCCUUCGGGAACUCUGAGACAGGUGCUGCAUGGCUGUCGUCAGCUCGUGUUGUGAAAUGUUGGGUUAAGUCCCGCAACGAGCGCAACCCUUAUCCUUGUUUGCCAGCGAGUAAUGUCGGGAACUCCAGGGAGACUGCCGGUGAUAAACCGGAGGAAGGUGGGGACGACGUCAAGUCAUCAUGGCCCUUACGAGUAGGGCUACACACGUGCUACAAUGGCGCAUACAGAGGGCAGCAAGCUAGCGAUAGUGAGCGAAUCCCAAAAAGUGCGUCGUAGUCCGGAUUGGAGUCUGCAACUCGACUCCAUGAAGUCGGAAUCGCUAGUAAUCGUGAAUCAGAAUGUCACGGUGAAUACGUUCCCGGGCCUUGUACACACCGCCCGUCACACCAUGGGAGUGGGCUGCAAAAGAAGUGGGUAGUUUAACC
Molecule: ribosomal RNA, 622 nt
Filed under: Vibrio sp.
Lineage: Bacteria; Pseudomonadati; Pseudomonadota; Gammaproteobacteria; Vibrionales; Vibrionaceae
Description: bacterial SSU rRNA
Rfam family: Bacterial small subunit ribosomal RNA
Source: RNAcentral